This 579-nucleotide ribosomal RNA is filed under the name Cerastoderma edule. RNAcentral describes it as "SSU rRNA". It matches the Rfam family "Eukaryotic small subunit ribosomal RNA", at positions 594 to 1174 of the family's 1831-position model. The record is from RNAcentral. Lineage: Eukaryota; Metazoa; Mollusca; Bivalvia; Cardiida; Cardiidae.
CAAUAGCGUAUGUCAAAGUUGUUGCGGUUAAAAAGCUCGUAGUUGGAUCUCGGUGUCGGGCUGGYGGUGCGCCCGUAGUGGCGAUCUACUGCCAGUUCCCCGGCGAAAAGAGGCCGGCAGUUUUUCCCUUGGUGCUCUUGACUGAGUGUCUCGGGUGGCCGGAACGUUUACUGUGAAAAAAUUAGAGUGCUCAAAGCAGGCCUUCGUGCCCGAAUAUUGGUGCAUGGAAUAAUGGAGGACGACCUCGGCUCCACUUUGUUGGUUUACGGUGCUCGAGGUAAUGAUUAAGAGAGACUGCCGGGGGCAUACGUACUGCGGCGCGAGAGGUGAAAUUCUGUGACCGUCGCAGGACGAACGAAAGCGAAGGCAUUUGCCAAGAAUGUUUUCAUUAAUCAAGAACGAAAGUCAGAGGUUCGAAGACGAUCAGAUACCGUCGUAGUUCUGACCGCAAACUAUGCCAACUGACCCUCCGCCGGAGUUGCUUUAUUGACUCGGCGAGGAGCCCCCGGGAAACCAAAGUCUUUGGGUUCCGGGGGGAGUACGGUUGCAAAGCUGAAACUUAAAGGAAUUGACGGAAGG